GUUUUGCCAGCAAGCUAGGUGCAAGACGGCUUUCACACACACUUAUCUCUCAGAAAUUAGCAUGUGGAGAGACGUGCAUUCAUCUAGCACGAAGGGAAUGGUUUGCAGGAGAAACAGUUACUCUGGUUUCUCAGUCUGUUUCCUAGUGCCUGUUUGAAGUUCCUGCAGUUUUCACUGUAAAGCUGAGUUGGAGCUAGAAUCUCCUCAUAU
Non-coding RNA from Vicugna pacos (alpaca), 210 nucleotides. Lineage: Eukaryota; Metazoa; Chordata; Mammalia; Artiodactyla; Camelidae. The record is from RefSeq and is a predicted model, not a curated record.